GUUACCAUAGUUCAGUGGUAGAACAGCCCGCUCAAAGAUUCUCCUAAUCCGAUUGUCCGACGGCGGGAGGACGUGGGUUCGAUUCCCGCUGGUGUGA
Molecule: non-coding RNA, 97 nt
Organism: Mycena vitilis
Lineage: Eukaryota; Fungi; Basidiomycota; Agaricomycetes; Agaricales; Mycenaceae
Source: the annotation of a GenBank genome assembly